UUAUCAACUGGUUAGAUGAAACUGCCAAAACUGCAAAACCUUUAUGCGUCGGUUCGAUCCCGACCCGCGCCUCCA
Molecule: transfer RNA, 75 nt
Filed under: Granulicella mallensis
Lineage: Bacteria; Pseudomonadati; Acidobacteriota; Terriglobia; Terriglobales; Acidobacteriaceae
Description: tRNA-OTHER
Source: RNAcentral